This 468-nucleotide ribosomal RNA is filed under the name uncultured bacterium. RNAcentral's name for it is "partial 16S ribosomal RNA". It matches the Rfam family "Bacterial small subunit ribosomal RNA", at positions 28 to 507 of the family's 1533-position model. The record is from RNAcentral.
GACGAACGCUGGCGGCGUGCUUAACACAUGCAAGUCGAACGGAAAGGCCCUGCUUUUGUGGGGUGCUCGAGUGGCGAACGGGUGAGUAACACGUGAGUAACCUGCCCUUGACUUUGGGAUAACUUCAGGAAACUGGGGCUAAUACCGGAUAGGAGCUCCUGCUGCACGGUGGGGGUUGGAAAGUUUCGGCGGUUGGGGAUGGACUCGCGGCUUAUCAGCUUGUUGGUGGGGUAGUGGCUUACCAAGGCUUUGACGGGUAGCCGGCCUGAGAGGGUGACCGGCCACAUUGGGACUGAGAUACGGCCCAGACUCCUACGGGAGGCAGAAGUGGGGAAUAUUGCACAAUGGGCGGAAGCCUGAUGCAGCAACGCCGCGUGCGGGAUGACGGCCUUCGGGUUGUAAACCGCUUUCGCCUGUGACGAAGCGUGAGUGACGGUAAUGGGUAAAGAAGCACCGGCUAACUACGUG